CCUACGUCCCGGGACCGCCAAUUUGGUCGGUUCAGGCACGCGGGCAGACCACCGAACGGACAAGGUUUCUCCUAUCCGCCCAAGGCUCAACAAAAAUCAUGUAUAUCUAGUUUGCCCAGGUAAAACAUAAUCAACAUACAUGAUUGUGUGAGUGUAAUAUAAACAAGAGUAAGAGAGAAAUACUAGCUAUUACAUUCCACAUCUGAACAUUUACAUUCAACCACCAAAAUACAUACAUUUGGUUUACAUAAUUGUUCCAAGAUACAUAUACAUCAUCCAAGAGUAACCUCUCCCAAAAUACAUCAUGUCUCUCAAAAUAAUACAUAUAUAGUACUCUAAUGCAAAAGAGGCUACUAUCUAGGGUGCUAUACCCUUACCGCGAUCCUCGACCGCCUCGCUCGUGCUAGGCCCUGCAAUAAAGUGGGAUGAGAACUAACAAAAGUUUCCAGUGGAUAUGGCCGCCGACCCCGCCGAUUUUUUCACUAGGUCUAAGUAGAAGGGUUAGCAAUAUAAUAAAUAUCUAGCAUGCUACUAUACCUUAACAAUAUGAUACAAUAAACAGGUACAAUAAACAUGUACUAGCAACUACUAUGCUCAUGAUGCAUGCCAUUCACAACUCAUAACCCAAUCAUACCGGCUAACCCGAAGGUUAAGCCCCAACUCACAACCAAAUCCCACCG
Molecule: long non-coding RNA, 680 nt
Filed under: Ananas comosus (pineapple)
Lineage: Eukaryota; Viridiplantae; Streptophyta; Magnoliopsida; Poales; Bromeliaceae
Description: long non-coding RNA (ACOM_LNC012239)
Source: RNAcentral